Molecule: ribosomal RNA, 200 nt
Filed under: uncultured bacterium
Lineage: Bacteria
Description: partial 16S ribosomal RNA
Rfam family: Bacterial small subunit ribosomal RNA
Source: RNAcentral
ACGCUCGACACCUACGGAGGCAGCAGUGGGGAAUAUUGCACAAUGGGGGAAACCCUGAUGCAGCGACGCCGCGUGAGCGAAGAAGUAUCUCGGUAUGUAAAGCUCUAUCAGCAGGGAAGAAGAUGACGGUACCUGACUAAGAAGCACCGGCUAAAUACGUACCAGCAGCCGCGGUAAUCUGAGCGGGCGUGGCGAAGGCG